Molecule: ribosomal RNA, 427 nt
Filed under: uncultured bacterium
Lineage: Bacteria
Description: partial 16S ribosomal RNA
Rfam family: Bacterial small subunit ribosomal RNA
Source: RNAcentral
UGGGGAAUAUUGCACAAUGGGCGCAAGCCUGAUGCAGCCAUGCCGCGUGUAUGAAGAAGGCCUUCGGGUUGUAAAGUACUUUCAGCGGGGAGGAAGGCGAUAAGGUUAAUAACCUUGUCGAUUGACGUUACCCGCAGAAGAAGCACCGGCUAACUCCGUGCCAGCAGCCGCGGUAAUACGGAGGGUGCAAGCGUUAAUCGGAAUUACUGGGCGUAAAGCGCACGCAGGCGGUCUGGCAAGUCGGAUGUGAAAUCCCCGGGCUCAACCUGGGAACUGCAUUCGAAACUGGCAGGCUAGAGUCUUGUAGAGGGGGGUAGAAUUCCAGGUGUAGCGGUGAAAUGCGUAGAGAUCUGGAGGAAUACCGGUGGCGAAGGCGGCCCCCUGGACAAAGACUGACGCUCAGGUGCGAAAGCGUGGUGAGCAAACA